Molecule: ribosomal RNA, 301 nt
Filed under: uncultured bacterium
Lineage: Bacteria
Description: partial 16S ribosomal RNA
Rfam family: Bacterial small subunit ribosomal RNA
Source: RNAcentral
CAGUCGCCACGGGAACACGAAGGGGGCUAGCGUUGCUCGGAAUGACUGGGCGUAAAGGGCGCGUAGGCGGAUUGUUUAAUUAGGCGUGAAAUUCCUGGGCUUAACCUGGGGACUGCGCUUAAUACAGGCAGUCUAGAGUGAGGAAGAGGGUUGUGGAAUUCCCAGUGUAGAGGUGAAAUUCGUAGAUAUUGGGAAGAACACCGGCGGCGAAGGCGGCAACCUGGUCCUUGACUGACGCUGAGGCGCGAAAGCGUGGGGAGCAAACAGGAUUAGAUACCCCGGUAGUCCCUGUCUCUUAUAC